ACUUACUCAGGUCAUAUGCAGAUUUUUUUGAACUGAAUAACAGUUGUUUACUUCAAAGCUAGGCUGUAGGAAAGUAUGGCAUUUCUUUUUAGAAUCAGUUCUAUUUUAUCUUAUACUUGUGUAGAAUAUUUCUUUAGAAAAGCAAAGAGGAAUACCAGCAGCAAAGCUGGAUACAGGAUGAAUGUGGGUUUCAGAUGGGGCAACCUUAUCACCAUUUGAUGUCAGAUCCACCCUGACCAGAGCUGAUUGCAAGAGGUGGAGGCUCAGGAACUGAAGCAAUCAGAAUGGAAGAAACAUCAGCAAGUAUACAUUGAGUGCCUAAUAUGCACCAGGGGAUACAGCAGAAAAUGAGCAAAAUUCCUGCUUGAAAAGAACGUCUCCUUUAUUAGAGCAGUUGCAAGAAUUACAGACUACCUGCUUACUGCUGGUCUGGGAUGUGGCUGCUUAAAGAAUGAAAUCUCAUGACCUGCUGUGGUUAUACCCAGGUGCUGGUGCGAAUGGUCAUUAUCCUGCCUGGCUGGAAGGUCCCUGGAGGGGGAUUUGUGGCAGCAGAAUUCUCACAUUCUCUAGGUGCUGAGGAUCAUUCACUCUGAGGAAGCCAGCUGCCACAUCACGAAGAUCCUCUGGCUAUACUAUGAAGAAACUCCCAUGACAAGGAUCUAAGGCCUCGUGGCCUUAAAAGCCAUGAGAGGGAGCAUCUUGGAGCUGAUCCUCUAUACCCAGCCUUCAGGGGACUGCAGACUGCAAGGCAACAGCUUAACUGGGAGGCCCUGAAUUGGAACCAUCCAACUACCCAGCUGUGCUGCUCUGGGAUCCCUGAACAUCAGAGACUCCUUCAGAUAACAUCCAAGAGGCUGCCAGAGAAGCAAAUCUAAAAGACGCAAGUCCCUGCCCUUCCCAUCACCCACUGCCCCGGUGUGGAUCCCUUCCAAUAAGAGACAACACAGGCCCACUGGCUCUCACCAUUUAUGGAAUUGCCUUGGCUACUCAAGGGACCAGAUGUUCCCUGGGGUUGUGACCCACUGCUCCUGCAUUUAGCCUCCUGGCUGGCUGCUUGCUUGCUUGGACUCAGCCCAGUACAGAUGGCAUUACUGCUAAAUCAGAGAGAAUGACACUCGGUUUCCUGGUCCUCCUUCAAGUUGCUACUUUGUUGGCAGUCAGAGACCUCUAACUCCUUACGGAAGGUGUGGUAUUGAGGAGAAAAGAAGUAACACCAGUGUGAGUUAAGAGGGCGAGAGUGACAAGCCCAGAGGACAACGAGAUGACCAGAUCAACUCCUAUGGAGAAAAAGUGAAGCUUCCCUGAAAGUCUGGAGGAGAUUUGCUCGGUAAAGGCUAGUAAGGGAGAUGCUGCCAUGGAGUGAGGAGGACCCCAGGGACGGCAGAAUGAG
Bos taurus (domestic cattle) is the source of this 1390-nucleotide long non-coding RNA. The record is from Ensembl. NCBI's taxonomy places the organism in Eukaryota, Metazoa, Chordata, Mammalia, Artiodactyla, Bovidae.